RNAcentral lists this ribosomal RNA (853 nucleotides) under Paraburkholderia oxyphila. RNAcentral describes it as "bacterial SSU rRNA". It matches the Rfam family "Bacterial small subunit ribosomal RNA", at positions 314 to 1141 of the family's 1533-position model. The record is from RNAcentral. Lineage: Bacteria; Pseudomonadati; Pseudomonadota; Betaproteobacteria; Burkholderiales; Burkholderiaceae.
GGGGAYUGAGACACGGCCCCAGAYUYCUUACGGGRRGCAGCAGUGGGGAAUUUUGGACAAUGGGGGCAACCCUUGAUCCCAGCAAUGCCGCGUGUGUGAAGAAGGCCUUCCGGGUUGUAAAGCACUUUUGUCCGGAAAGAAAACUUUCGCCCUUAAUACGGUGGAGGGAUGACGGUACCGGAAGAAUAAGCACCGGCUAACUACGUGCCAGCAGCCGCGGUAAUACGUAGGGUGCGAGCGUUAAUCGGAAUUACUGGGCGUAAAGCGUGCGCAGGCGGUGAUGUAAGACCGAUGUGAAAUCCCCGGGCUUAACCUGGGAACUGCAUUGGUGACUGCAUUGCUGGAGUAUGGCAGAGGGGGGGUGGAAUUCCACGUGUAGCAGUGAAAUGCGUAGAGAUGUGGAGGAACACCGAUGGCGAAGGCAGCCCCCUGGGCCAAUACUGACGCUCAUGCACGAAAGCGUGGGGAGCAAACAGGAUUAGAUACCCUGGUAGUCCACGCCCUAAACGAUGUCAACUGGGUUGUCGGGCCUUCAUUGGCUUGGUAACGUAGCUAACGCGUGAAGUUGACCGCCUGGGGGAGUACGGUCGCAAGAUUAAAACUCAAAGGGAAUUGACGGGGACCCGCACAAGCGGUGGGAUGAAUGUGGGAUUAAUUUCGAUGCAACGCGAAAAACCUUACCUACCCUUGACAUGUACGGAACCUGGCUGAGAAGGUCGGGGUGCCCGAAAAGGGAGCCGUAACACAGGUGCUGGCAUGGCUGUCGUCAGCUCGUGUCGUGGAGAWGGUUGUGGUUAAKUCCCSCMACSAAGCGCAACCCCUUGUYCUCUAGUUUGYUACGCAAGARCACUCC